CAGCGAGAGGACAGGGACCCCACCGCAGCACCCUGGAGACGGACCGCUGUGCAAUGGACUGUGUGCGUGUGAGGAGGGUCGUAAAACGCGCGGUGAGGAAGAGGUUAAAUCCAUCUCAUCUGACGCUAAACAAGAAAUAAUGGUUUCUUUCUUCUCGCAAGCAACGGAAAGAGAAAGUCCCUCAUUUCCCUUUGCGGACAUCGGGUUCCUGAAUAACUCCCCGGAGUAGAUUCAUCAUCAUUACAUUAAAUCAGCCAUGGCCUCCAUCAGUGGUUCGUUUGCCUCAGUGUUAACUCAGCGGGAGCCGCAACAGGCUGUGAAUUCUACACGCAAACAAACAGAGAAAAUAACAACGACAACACACACUGAAUAAUUCUUUUGUGUACACUGGGGCGAACAGUGCCACCAAAAGGGAUCAUAUUUUAAUAUACAGCAUAGUGUGUAAUUCACAGAGACACUUUUAAUCCCCUAGGGGUCGUGGGAGAAUGUCUUUCUUGUUUCUUUUCUGUGAAUAUCUGUGCAUUUUCCGAGUGAGGCUGCUGAAUCCCUUAAUCGAAUCUCCUUUCAUCGGGCUUUCGUGGCGCGUGAGUGGAUUCUGCACAUCAGACAUUCAUCACACUUCUGACCCUGCAGGCUUCCCGUGGGCCAGAGGAGAGAAGGGAAACAAAUAGGAAACACGGUAUGUGCAACAACGCGUUUAGCUUCGCUUUAAAAUGUAACGGUGGAGAGAUGAAGCCCUCUCCGAUUCGAUGCAGACAUCCUCCCUGCCAUCAGAUCGGGACUACUUCAUAUUGUCAUUACAUGCAGUUUUAAUUAUUGUCCCUUCCAUGUGUCUGGGUAAAAAAAAAAUUAAAGAUAGUCUGCUAUGUAGGGGGGGCUUUGAUCUUCCUAUAUUAUCAAUGGGGGUUUGGGAACCACUAGCUUAUGCUAUGAACUUGAAAACACCCUAUAAACCAUAAAAACAUUUUUUUGUGUGCAAAAGAUUGUCCUAAUUGCCCGUGUGUUAAUUUAUAUGUCAAUUCAUAUUUUAAUUGUUUCAUCUCAUUCUGAUCCUCAGGCAAAGACUGUAUGUCAGACGUGGACGUACGGACAUCUGAACCGCGGAGGAGUGGGUGAGGACCGCCCUAAAGCGUACCCUGCUUCAUGGUCUAUUUGACUCUAGAUGGACCAUCAUUGACUAAAUAAACAUCAUGCCGUGUUGAAGUAGACUUGAAACCAGAGAUUGAGAUCAAAAACUCAUGUUUACAAUGUUUACUGAGGGAAUGAACCAAGAGAGAAGUAAAGUCCUUUCCUCAUAGACUAUCCUAUCAGUACUGUGUGCAAAAAGUAGAGGCUGCUUGAUGCUGUUGGUCGGAAUGUCCACCGGCGUCCAUUUGUUUCUAUCCCCUCCAGCCGACACGCAGUCCUCGCCUCAUACUAAACUGUCCCCUCCAGCCGACCGGAUACCAGCAGGAGGGUCAUUUGACCUUUCACCAACAUCACAGCAGCUCCUGUGUCCACCACACUGCUGAUAAUCUCCCCCCCGUUCAUUUAGAUCAAAUCUACACAUGCAUGCAAGUGGCUGCGACGACCAACUGCACGCAGGCGGUUGCAGGUCGUGAGCUUCCAGGUGGAUCAUUCCAGCCAGCUUGGUAUUCUGACGAAGGGAGUCUGGACUCACUAAUAGGAUUCUGGGUUUUUCUUCUCUCCGAGACAACGUGAGCAAUGGGGAGGUUAAUCUGUAUGUGUUUGAAGUCAGGUCUGCGCCUCAUUGACUUUCUUCACCUUCCCUUGGCUCUGUCUCCAUUGCGCGCACACACACACACACACACACACAUCGGUGCUUUGAACUGUGACUAAAGCUUUCUCUGCGUCUCUGUCUUUGAUCCUUGUUAAAAGGUUAAGGUGACUGCAGGGAUUGGGCAGAGCGGGGAGUGCGUGAAGUUUCACCAAAGUUUUCACCUCGGAUGAUGACGCACACAAAGGAGAAGGUGGUGUGACCCUCUGGCGUUCCCAUCUAAUGGAACUCCUCUGUUAGGUGGAUGCGCGGCUCGGCGCCCAGAGGGAGGACAUCACGCCACCGUCAUGGACGCCGAUCAUCUCCUGGUCAUGAACAGUCGUCUCAUGGUGCUUCCCCGCUUCAGAUGAGGCCCUAACAGCAUCUCCACGAAGACUCGUAGGAAACUGUGCCCCCCCCCCCCCCCCCCCCUCCCCAUGGUUCGAGCAAACUUCCGCUGCUUUGCUAAAUGUCGAGAGAAGAUGAAGCAGGUUUUCCGUUAGAAUCUGACUGGGAGCUCAGGCUGUCGUUGUGAUGUCGGCCAUGGCACAUGGCAGAUGGAGACGGGUUUGGCAUUAGCAUAAUUUUCCCACCGACCGUUUUCUCGCAAAUUCCUGCGUGGGAACGAGAAGACACACAGAUUCUGGAGCUCAUUACACUGUGGCAGCGUACACCAGUGUGUGUACGUCUGUGCGAGAGUGACUUAUUACGGCGAUGCACUGCUCAUCAUUGUUAUAGCGGUGCACAUUAGGCAGGGGAGCCUUGUGCUUAACGAGACGAGGCUUUUCAUCGAGCUUCAGCAUCCCCUCGUCAUGGCAACGCUCUGCUGAUCCUUUCACCUCUUCCCAUUGUUUUAUUUCUGCUGCCGCAGCCUCUCGGUCCGUCGGGUUCUCGCUGUUUCUUCCCCAACGUCAUUGAGCCACCGCUUUUCCUCUCGCGUAAUUCUUUUCUCUGCCCUUUUUUCCCGCAAUCCAUCCGGUCUGAGGCUUCUCCAUCCCUCCCUACGUCGUACCCUGUGACCCGGAGGAGCCAGUACAGAGACAUCAGCAUAAAUAACAUAUGAGGUGGUGUAGUAUUACCACAUACUCACACACACACCAUUGGCCUCUCCACAGUCUUCCAUCAGGAGCAGGGGAAUACAAUACAACGGUUCCCUGGGGAGGAUGUUCAUGUUUCCCUUAAAGGAGAAAAACAAUUGAGAAGACAACGAAUGAAUUGAAAGAGAAAUGUAGAUAGUUAUGAGUAGAACGUGCAGAUAGUAAAUACAUCUGUAUUACCUCUUUAUGACACCUGGAUAUAAAUGAGAACUUGCUGAAAAAUGUAUGGGGAAAUUAGCUGUCUGCGCAUUAAUAUUUGAAUAAAUACCAGAUUUACAAUAGCUUUCUGUGAGGCCAGCUGUGAGGCAGCCAUGAAUAUUUCACCAUAAUGAACGCCCUGUUGGAGGAGAAAGGCCUGAACUCUGUGAAUAUUUUACGAAAUGGAUCUAAACUACUCUCUGAAAGAUUGGAUUACCUAACUCGAACAUCACAAUGUGCUUGAUGUUUUGACCCGCGGAAAAGAGAUUAAAAAAAAGGGGAGACAUCAUUUUCAUUCCAAAUAUGAAACAUUGCUGUUGAAAUAAUGACGGUUUCCCUGCAGUUUCUCUGGUUUCCUCCCACAGUGGUGACAGACAUGCUGCCUUAGUUAAUGGAUUGCUCUCAACGCCCUGUGAUCAGUGCUUUGCUCAGGCCGACAUGUCGUUGAGAGUCGGGACCCGUCGACAGCUUCUUUCACUUACAUUUGAAAAAAGCCCCCAUCAUGUUUUGCAGAGGCCAUAAUGAGCGCUGCAAACAUGUUUACCUCCGAACAGUAAUUGGUUUCCAUGAACAUGUUUUCCCUGUAUAUACUGUCCAUUUAUAAUCUAUCAUAACAUUGUAGCAAUGGGACUGCAUCCCCCACGAGAAAACCUGUCUGUUUGAAACAAAAGGAAUCCAGUUUGCUGCAGCGCAGCGUUUGUUGCAAGUUGCAUUUGUCCCAUGGUGCAAAAAGUGUUCAUCUGACUGAAAGCUAAGAAGACAGGGGAGAAGACAAAUGCAGCACAGAUGUGCAAAGCUAAUUAGCAGGAAGCCCACAUGGACUCAAACAUGCAUCUACUAAUUACUGACUUAGCAGAGAUAAAUACCUCCACGUUCCAGGUAGCCUUUAAAUAGCAGACCCUCAAACACAAAAGCACACGACAAGAUGGCAACAAGGCAGCAAGGAUGAAGUGACAGGACAGAAAAGUGUGAAGUAUCUGGAGGAGCGACGGGGAGAGCGUGACAGGUGAGCAGGUGGUCAGGUGACGGGUGGGGAAAGGAGGGAAAGUCCUUUGGUGAGAGUGAAAAGGGCAUGAAUUGGGAUUGGGGAAUUCGGGGUGUAGCUUGAGAAUGCCGCGGUGAAACAUGUACACGUCCAACAUCUUAACCGAUGCUUCAAAGCUGAAGCUGGUGGCACUUAAUUCAGAGAGGCUGAACCUUUCGUUGCCUUCUGUGAGGCCAAGCACAAGGCUAGACCUGUUUAUAACGAGCCCUACCAAUCACUGCCCAUUAGUAUUACAAUGCAGUCCUGUAAGUAUGUGUAAUGAUAUGGAUGGUACAGCGAAGCAAAGUUAGAGAUCAUUUCUUUAUCAUGAACACCGAAAUUUUGUCUUUACAAACUUCUUUUCCAAGGCCGAACUUUAAAGGAUACAAAACAACGGUAGACCCAUUCACAUUAGGCCUUAACCGGACCAUUUAAUUGCCAUCUCCUCAUCACCUUAUUGUAUUGAACAGGUAGCCUAUUAAAAGACAUAGUAUUUUAAUCAACCAUCUUAUUAAAAGACCAUUAAGCUCUUCUCAUUCUUUUCAGGAGGUUUUAUAUUAGAAUGAAAUGUUAUAAGUACGCUACAAUUAUCAGAAACAUACAAACAUCCAUGCGGUUUAAAGGUGUACUGGAGGUUUAAUUGUUAAAUUAAAUUGUUUUUUCAUCUUGAGCCCUGAACACAUCCAUGCCUGUUAACCUGCUUGAUCCCAUGACAGCUUGACCAAUGAACUGGUACACAUGAAUGAAUACAACACUUGCAGACCAUAGUGUUUGGAAUAUUUCACUGCACUGACGGUGGAGCCGGCAUAAUUACCAGCUCCCUUGGCGGGGUUUAGCAUUUUAAAGGAAACAAUGAGGUCAGCUGACAGGCUGCACGCUAGAGACACAGGAUCCUUGCAGGAGUUGGGAGCAUCAGCUGUGCCGGCCUGUUUGGCAGCACCUCAGGCAACGAUAGCCUCAUGUCACCCACUGGUCCACUAUUCACAUGGAAGAGACAGGACGAUGUCCAUUAUUCAUACCAGGCCUGUGAUCGCUUUCUAUCAAAGUAUCUUACAGCAGGAGCCAAGGAAAGUCAAGGUCAAGUCUUUAACCUGGAGUCCCAGUCAAGUCUCAAGUCUUUAACCUGUAGUCCCAGUCAAGUCUCAAGUCUUUAACCUGUAGUCCCAGUCAAGUCUCGGGUCUUUAACCCGGAGUCCCAGUCAAGUCUCGGGUCUUUAACCCGGAGUCCCAGUCAAGUCUCGGGUUUUUAACUUGGAGUCCCAGUCAAGUCUCGGGUCUUUAACCUGGAGUCCCAGUCAAGUCUCGGGUCUUAUAUGUAUUUAUAAAUAACACCACAUGACUGCAGACUGCAGACUAGUGCUGACAAACACUGCGACACGCAAACGGCAAUUAGCAGCCGCUUCAUCUCCGGGGUCCAGGCUGUCUGCGGUCUGAUGUGUCCUCCCCCGUCACAUCGCUCACCUGACACCAUCCGACACCAUCUGACACCAUCUGUCAGAGCGCUACAGAGAAAGCGAAGGAAUUAAUGUUGGAGUCGAAAUCCAGCUGUUUCUGAGUGAAUGCAGGCUGCAUGAAAGAAUAAGGCAUGACGUAUUGUUUUUAAAAAAAAACGUUUUUUGAACCACAAAUUCUUUUAUAGCUGUAGCUGCUAAUGUGGUGCACACGGUUCCUGGAGCCUCGUGGGUGGAGGCUGACUAAUCCGUGGCCGUGCUCGGUACAUACUGCCAUCAAACACUGAUUGUAUCAAAAGUGUUGGUAUAGUUUUCUGAUCGAAACACGAGGAACAAAAAGUUAUUACUCUAGUUUUCAAAUCGCACAUGGAGUUCUCUUUAGUAGUAUAUUGAAUUGGUUUUGCUUCUUUUGGAGGCUGGACAUAAUGUUAAGUAAUUUAAUGCAACGUAGAUUGUGUUAUUGUUCAGUGAAAUAAAACCGCACUCACACUAAUUCACAUCAGGUGCACAGUCUCACCUUUUGGCUUUCUCUAAAAGUAUUUUGUUUUGAUUUUCCACAUGGAUAUAAACAGUCUGCCAUUUCUCCUGGAUUCGUCCAGCUUUCAAUAACAGCGACUGAGACUUUCAGAGUUUACUGCAGAAACAGUGGCUUUUGAGACUUGCUUGUUGCUUUUAAUGUGACAGUUUGUCAUACAAACAGGAUUGUGUCUUCAUUUUUCCAUCUUUUUGUUGAUUUUCACAGGCUUACAUACUUAUGAUUGUAUACGGAGACUCAAAACAUUCAUAAGACGUGGAAGAAGGAGCUGGCUACUCUGCAGAAAUACCUUCUCAUGCAGUGUAUGAUGCUGACAGAAAUACAUGGCAGCGACAAGCAGUCCUGAGUCCUGCGAGUGCCCACAAAUGUGAUCACGAACAAUCUUCCCCUUAUAGAUCACGACCUGUUCAAUCAAUAUGAGCCUAUUUCGCUUCACAGCGCCUGUUGUGAAUUUCAUUACCAUGGUUUGUCAUUUUCUGAGUGCGUUGCCAGCAAAAGAGUUUGAGAAACAUGGUUUACAGCUAAUGUCAUUGCUAAUGUCAUCAUGCUAACAUCAUGGAAGGCCACCACUGAGAGAGCACCAGGUUUUGAAGAUGAAAUUGUGUCAGUUGAUUCAAGCAAAACAUGUGUCGACAUCUCUGGACGAAGAGAAUGUUGGCCUGGUUUUGUCUUUGCAGACCAGUGGAAGAAAUGUUCCAUGAAUACGUUUCAUAUAAAUGUGUAUCCUGCUUAAAAAGAUCACAAUGUGAAGCGAUUGAUGAGGGUUAGGCAACAACAUUACUUGGUAACGGUUUGAAAAAGGUUCAUGAUUGGUUUUACAAAGAAUCAUUGAAUGACAUGAUCUGAUAUAUUGUUUUGUCGGCACAAGCCUGCAAAUAAAAACCAGCCACCCUGAGCAGCUUUCAUGACAUUAUGUAACAAGUGUAAACUCAAUGUGUACUUUUAGUUUCACAUAGGACACGAACAGCCGUCUCCUGGGGCAUGUUUUGUUUUACCAAAUUCAUUGUACAGAGUAACCUGUUUACUAGUAAUCCUGCAAGCGAUAAUUAUUUAAAUGUGCACGUAAACACAAAUCAACGUUUCCUUUGUAUCCUGAACGCCAAAAAAAAUCGUGGCAACAGGGCGUCACCAUUGCUACGGUAACCGGAUGAGGAGAGAUCCUGUUCAAGCCUGUUUAACAAAACUUGUUAGCAAGUGUCACAUCACAGAAGAGCCGUCGUAUUCAAAUUCAGGACUCAGCGCUCCGAAUGUUGAGCUCAGAGCGUCUGAAAGGGAAACAGACAAGAGAAGAAAAGGGGAGCAGGAAUCAGAAGAAAGAGCAGGACAGGCUCGAGGCGUUGACCUGUCUUGCAUCCACUUCCCUAAUAUGGAGAGCAGCUUAUUAUCGGUGGCCCUCUGUCACCCGCUUUGAAAAUAUCAUUAUCAGCUGAAAAUGUGUAAAUAAUUUUCAAUCAGGGAGAGUCAACUUCAUCUUUCACAUGAUUGUGCUAAUAGUGUCAUAGUGUAGACAAGCGAGUACAAGAACCAACGCAUUUUUACAUUAGAUUUAAAAAGUCCCAUUUUCUCGUGCCCUGAUGAUAGCGGGCUGAUGGAGCCUGGCAAUUGUAGUGGCACAUUAUGGAUUUAAAAUAUUUUCAUUCAAACAUGCACCGUGUGCACUUUCAAGAUAAAAAUGUGUGUUGUGGCAGCACAACGCAGCAACCUCCGGUUCUACACAGCGAAGCCGUGCGUCCUCUCUGCUGACUAUCAGGGGGAGAAAAGGACUCUACUUCUCUCUUGACUUGGUCUCUGAGUAAACACUGUAAACAUGAGUUUAUGGCCUCAAUCAGUGGCGGCUGGUAACAAACGUUGUAGCCAUCCAAUCAUUUUCAGCAUCCCAGCAUGCACAACAACUAAAUAUGCAUUACUACUUUACUGUAUAUAUAUAUACAGUAUAUACGUAUAUAUAUACAUAUAUAUAUAUGAAGCUUAGGCGAAAAUUCAGUCAGGAAGGCUGGACAGACUGUGCCGUUCCCUGGUGGCCUCCUCUCUCCUUGUGGGUGCACGGCCAGCUGAUUAGGGGCGGGGUCGGGUAGUACCAGCCAACCAGACGUGGGUGCCGUUACCGUAAACAGAUUGCAUCGGUGCAGGCAAACGUUAAAAACUGUUCUCCUCUCUUUUGCUGUCAGUUGUCAUUUCAGCACGCACCAAAGACGACCCGCCACCACCCCUGAAGCCUCCAAUCUACAGCAGAACCUGGCAUAUUUAUUUCCUGUCUUAUUGUGUAGUUUUCUGCUUCUUGUCUCCCUGGGUAUCUUCACUUCCUGCCUCGUCCUGUCGUCCCCCUGUGAUUGUCUGAUUGUUUCUACCUGUGUCCAAUCACCUGCACCUCCCUGUGUAUUUAAGCAGUGUGUGUCUCUUGUGACUUGUCGCGUCAUUGUCUAUCGUCCUGGAUGUCUCUAGUUCCUGCCAGCCUUUUUUUCCCCCGGUACCUGUAUGCGUUUUUGCCCCUUGGCCAUUUUGUGUUGGAGUUUAUGACUAUUA
Long non-coding RNA from Gasterosteus aculeatus aculeatus (three-spined stickleback), 8584 nucleotides. NCBI's taxonomy places the organism in Eukaryota, Metazoa, Chordata, Actinopteri, Perciformes, Gasterosteidae. The record is from Ensembl.